ACCUGGGUGGCUCAGUUGGUUAAGCAUCUAACUUUGGCUUAGGUCACCAUCUCACGGUUUGUGAGUUCAAGUCUUACAUCAAGUG
This 85-nucleotide transfer RNA is filed under the name Felis catus (domestic cat). It matches the Rfam family "tRNA". Rfam says of the family: Transfer RNA (tRNA) molecules are approximately 80 nucleotides in length. Their secondary structure includes four short double-helical elements and three loops (D, anti-codon, and T loops). The record is from Rfam by way of RNAcentral. Lineage: Eukaryota; Metazoa; Chordata; Mammalia; Carnivora; Felidae.